UGGGGAAUAUUGGACAAUGGGCGCAAGCCUGAUCCAGCCAUGCCGCGUGUGUGAAGAAGGCCCUCGGGUUGUAAAGCACUUUAAGCGAGGAGGAAGGUCAUCAUACUAAUAUUAUGAUGAAUUGACGUUACUCGCAGAAUAAGCACCGGCUAACUCUGUGCCAGCAGCCGCGGUAAUACAGAGGGUGCAAGCGUUAAUCGGAAUUACUGGGCGUAAAGCGCGCGUAGGCGGUUUGUUAAGUCGGAUGUGAAAUCCCUGGGCUCAACCUAGGCACUGCAUCCGAUACUGGCUGACUAGAGUGUGGGAGAGGAAGGUAGAAUUCCAGGUGUAGCGGUGAAAUGCGUAGAGAUCUGGAGGAAUACCGAUGGCGAAGGCAGCCUUCUGGCCUAACACUGACGCUGAGGUGCGAAAGCAUGGGGAGCAAACAGG
This 429-nucleotide ribosomal RNA is filed under the name uncultured bacterium. RNAcentral describes it as "bacterial SSU rRNA". It matches the Rfam family "Bacterial small subunit ribosomal RNA", at positions 355 to 776 of the family's 1533-position model. The record is from RNAcentral.